UAACGCGAAGAACCUUACCAGCCCUUGACAUACCGGUCGCGGACACAGAGAUGUGUCUUUCAGUUCGGCUGGACCGGAUACAGGUGCUGCAUGGCUGUCGUCAGCUCGUGUCGUGAGAUGUUGGGUUAAGUCCCGCAACGAGCGCAACCCUCGCCUUUAGUUGCCAUCAUUUAGUUGGGCACUCUAAAGGGACUGCCAGUGAUAAGCUGGAGGAAGGUGGGGAUGACGUCAAGUCCUCAUGGCCCUUACGGGCUGGGCUACACACGUGCUACAAUGGUGGUGACAGUGGGCAGCAAGCACGCGAGUGUGAGCUAAUCUCCAAAAGCCAUCUCAGUUCGGAUUGCACUCUGCAACUCGAGUGCAUGAAGUUGGAAUCGCUAGUAGAUCGCGGAUC
Molecule: ribosomal RNA, 394 nt
Filed under: Ochrobactrum quorumnocens
Lineage: Bacteria; Pseudomonadati; Pseudomonadota; Alphaproteobacteria; Hyphomicrobiales; Brucellaceae
Description: bacterial SSU rRNA
Rfam family: Bacterial small subunit ribosomal RNA
Source: RNAcentral